RNAcentral lists this long non-coding RNA (125 nucleotides) under Fukomys damarensis (Damara mole-rat). RNAcentral describes it as "lncRNA (ENSFDAG00000023471.1)". Lineage: Eukaryota; Metazoa; Chordata; Mammalia; Rodentia; Bathyergidae. The record is from RNAcentral.
GUCUGAAGCAGAAAGUUCAAAGGUGCCUUCAGUGACUCAGAUGUGAUUUUUUUACACCAGAAGAAAGAGAACGUAUUCAAGUAGCAAUAGACUUUGAUCUCCCUCUGCAAACAGAGGAGACAUGA